This 448-nucleotide ribosomal RNA is filed under the name uncultured bacterium. RNAcentral's name for it is "partial 16S ribosomal RNA". It matches the Rfam family "Bacterial small subunit ribosomal RNA", at positions 29 to 523 of the family's 1533-position model. The record is from RNAcentral.
AACGAACGCUGGCGGCAGGCCUAACACAUGCAAGUCGAGCGCUCUAGCAAUAGAGAGCGGCGCACGGGGGAGUAACGCGUAGGAAUCUACCUUGUAGUACGGAACAACAGUUGGAAACGACUGCUAAUACCGUAUACGCCCUUCGGGGGAAAGAAUUUCGCUAUAAGAUGAGCCUGCGUUAGAUUAGCUAGUUGGUGAGGUAAUGGCUCACCAAGGCUCCGAUCUAUAGCUGGUCUGAGAGGAUGAUCAGCCACACUGGGACUGAGACACGGCCCAGACUCCUACGGGAUGCAGCAGUGGGGAAUAUUGGGCAAUGGGCGCAAGCCUGACCCAGCCAUGCCGCUUGAGUGAUGACGGCGUUAGGGUUGUAAAGCUCUUUUAGUGGUGAGGAUGAUGACGGUAACCACAGAAAAAGCCCCGGCUAACUUCGUGCCAGCCGCCGCCGUAA